Long non-coding RNA from Culicoides brevitarsis, 558 nucleotides. RefSeq lists it as uncharacterized. NCBI's taxonomy places the organism in Eukaryota, Metazoa, Arthropoda, Insecta, Diptera, Ceratopogonidae. The transcript is spliced from 3 exons. The record is from RefSeq and is a predicted model, not a curated record.
AUUCAGAUUUCAAUCGAUUCGCAUCUAACUUUAUCAAAAAUGAAUUUUUAUUUAAAAAUUUGCGCUGUAUUUUUCAUAUUUUGCACUUUGCAUAUCAAUUCAUCGGAAUCUCAAGGACAGCAUAGUCGUACAUAUUUUUUCAAUCACGAACGUACUUACGGAAAAUAUCUCGGAUGCUUUCAAGACGACGCAAACCAAAGAAUGUUUAGACGACAUUUUCAGUUUGGACAACCUGCAACUAUAGAGCAAUGUAUCUCAUUUUGCGCAAAUGAAGGAUUUAUGUAUGCAGGAAUUCAAGAUCAUGAGCAUUGUUUUUGUGGUAAUUACCCGCCAAAUCCAUCAACUCACAAAAAGUUACAUGAUAAUGCCUGUGAUAUGUGGUGCAAUGGAGCUUUUCAUCAAAUUUGUGGAGGCAAUGGGAAGAAUAGUGCUUACGAAACAGGAAAUCAAAUUUUUAUAAAAAAUGCAAAUGGAGUCGAUUUUUUCCCGCCAAGUGAUGAUUAUUGGAAACAUUAAAUUUAUUUGAUUUUUUUUUAUGUGAAAAAUAAAAUAUUUUUU